AAAGAAACCAACAGGGAUUGCCUCAGUAACGGCGAGUGAAGCGGCAAAAGCUCAAAUUUGAAAUCUGGCAGCCUCGCUGUCCGAGUUGUAAUUUGAAGAUUUCUCUUUGUGAGAGGCGCCUUGUCUAUGUUCCUUGGAACAGGACGUCGCAGAGGGUGAGAAUCCCGUGUGAUGAGGCCGCCGAUCCGUGUAAAGAGUCAUCGACGAGUCGAGUUGUUUGGGAAUGCAGCUCUAAGUGGGUGGUAAACUCCAUCUAAAGCUAAAUAUUGGCGAGAGACCGAUAGCGAACAAGUACAGUGAUGGAAAGAUGAAAAGAACUUUGAAAAGAGAGUGAAAAAGUACGUGAAAUUGUUGAAAGGGAAGGUUAUUAGAUCAGACUUGGCGGCGCGCCAUACCUGUCCUCUUGUAGGGCGGACACUGGCGCGUGUUUGCUGGGCCAGCAUCGAUUCGGGCGGCGGGACAUGGUCCUGUGGGAUGUGGCUGUUUUAACACAGUGUUAUAACCACGGGUCUCUGCCGCCUGCCUGGAUCGAGGACUGCGUCUGUUUACAGACUAGGAUGCUGGCGUAAUGAUCUAAUAUC
Molecule: ribosomal RNA, 581 nt
Filed under: Komagataea norvegica
Lineage: Eukaryota; Fungi; Ascomycota; Saccharomycetes; Phaffomycetales; Wickerhamomycetaceae
Description: [Candida] norvegica partial large subunit ribosomal RNA
Rfam family: Eukaryotic large subunit ribosomal RNA
Source: RNAcentral